This is a long non-coding RNA of Phacochoerus africanus (Common warthog), 3497 nucleotides long. RefSeq lists it as uncharacterized. NCBI's taxonomy places the organism in Eukaryota, Metazoa, Chordata, Mammalia, Artiodactyla, Suidae. The transcript has 8 exons. The record is from RefSeq and is a predicted model, not a curated record.
UCCCUUCCCAGGCCUGGAGCGCGAGGCCCCGCCCAGGACCGCCGCGCGUCUGGAGGCGGGGCUCGGCCGCCUCUGGGUCCCGCUUGAAAUUCUGUAGAAGCCAGAAGGCUCGCGGAGCGCGCACUCCGAGUGAGUUUGAGGAUGUGUGCGGCUGGUGGCUAAGCUGGGACCCCCGCGGAGAAGGUGGGGGGGCCCCGACACCCGCCUGGUUGGACCGUUCGCUAUGAGAAGAUGCUUCCCCUGACGGGAAUGGAGUACCAAUCUCUGGCACUAUUGGAAAAACUGAUAGAAGGCUGUGGAUUACAGACAGAGCUAGGCAGCGCUGCUUGUACCUCUGUUGUCAGUAUCUGAGAACGCAGGCAUUCUGAAGAGUAAAGCUUCAGAUCCAUCGAUUUAGAAAUUGUGGCGCAAAUGUUCUAAAAGAAGAAAAGCAGUGGGCCCAGCUCCAAAAAACACUUAUUAAGGGCAUCCCACAGCAUAUGGAGUUCUCAGACCAGGGAUCCGAUCAGAACCACAGUUGUGACCUACACCACAGCUGUGGCGAUGCUGGAUUCUUACCCCACUGUGCCAGGCUGGAGAUCAAACCUCCACCCCAGUGUGGAAGGGACGCCGCUGAUCCCGCUGCGCUACAGCAGGAGCUCCACUGUUCUCUAUUUUAAUGAUAAUAAUUGUUAGCAUUUAUUGAAUUAAGUGCCAGAUACUGUUUCAAAGUAUUUUCCAUUCAUUAAUUUAUUUAAUCAUCACAACAUCCUGAUGAGGCUGAGAUUGUUAUUUCCAGUUUUACAGAUGAGGAAACUGAGGCACUGAGGACUUCAGGAACUUGCCCACCUUUUCACAGCCAGGAAGAGGCAGAUUGCAGAUUUGGAGCCCAGAGAGUGCUGUUCUUAGUGUACACUGCCUCCUUGAUGCUGCUGGUCUCCCCCAGUGCCACCUCCAGCUUCGGGCUCCAGAACCUUCACGGUCAGGCUCUGGGUUCUGACCUUUUCCUGUCUUCAGCAACUAAAGAAUAAGAAGCAGGCAGAGACACAGAUGCUCCACGGCAGCCCUCCAUGGACACCCAGCAAGCGGCGAGGUCUGGCACCCAGCACUCUGGGCAAAGUGCGCAAGGUUUUAAGCUCCCAGGAUUCCAUUAUCACUGAGAUGCUAAGAGUGAACAGAUGUAAAGUGUCAAAAGCUAAAUGAGAAAAAGAAGAAAACAGUCAUUCGGAGCCCCAGCAAGUAUCAUGGGACGCCCUGGGAUGUGCCCAGGAAACUAGAGUCACCGGAGGCUCACUUCAAAAGCUGGUCUUCAGUUGCGGCUGAGCAAAGUCCUGGCCUGCGGGUUCCAGCCCGUUGACACUGGAUCACGAAACACAAAUAGGUGUCAUUACUUCCACCAGUUUGAGGAGAAAAACACCCGCUGGUGUUAAGCCUGGAACCAAUGAGAAGAACCUGGAGCUCACUGGCAGCAUCCUCAGUGGUGGGUACCCUGACUCACCCCAGCCCUCGGCUCAUCUCCAGCAUUAAUUCUGUUGCCAGCACCUAUUCUGAGUUUGUGGCAAUUCACCUUUUCUAAUAUCCACCAGUCCCUGGGGAGCACACAGUUGGAGCAGAGUAGGUAUCUUUUCAAGGACACCCAAGCUAUUAGUUAGGACAGUACUUUGGAGGCUGAGACUCACUUUCCUGCCUUGACCAUGAUAUGAGGGGUGGUGGUUUAAGGGAGGUAUCUAGGAAGGAAGAUGGCAGCAGCAACCAGGCAUUUCACCUGGAUCCUUCUGCUUAAGAAAUAACUUUCACUGGCUGCAGGAGAUGACCCUGCUAAUUGCUGCCCUGGUGCUCUCUUGGUGGAGUUCUUGGUAAUUGUCUUAAUUCUUUAUUCUUAGAAGGAUCCGUCCCUCUCUGACAGCUCCACUGUUGGGCUUCAGGUCUGUAUGGCAACCCCUGCAUGUCCCCUUUUCAAACUGAUCUGUCAUCUGCCAGCUUCAUUACCAUCUGGGCAUAGGGCUACACUAACCAGUCUCAGCUGUACAAGCUCAUAAAAACCUUUUUUUUACAAAGGAAGUAGAAAUUCCUAACAUAGAUUUCAAAAAUAAUAACUGUCUGGUUUAAAUUCCCAACAGACUGCCUAACCUGCUGAUUAACUUGUUCAGACUUGGAUUCUCAGCCCAUGUAAAGUCAGGCUGGGUCGGAGUUCCCGUUGUGGCUCAGUGGUUAACGGAUCCAACUAGGAGCCACGAGGUUGUGGGUUAAGGAUCCGGUGUUGCCACGAGUUGUGGUAUAGGUCGCAGACGUGGCUCGGAUCCCGAGUUGGCUGUGGCUGUGGCAUAGGUCAGUGGCUACAGCUCCAAUUAGACCCCUAGCCUGGAACCUCCACAUGCCACAAGUGCCGCCCUAAAAAAGACAAAAAAAAAAAAAAGAAAGGCCAAGUUGUUUUUUUAAUUUAAUCACGUUAUUUUACAUCAGAAAACUUCACCCUCCCCAGUUGUGACAUUGAAGGUCCCCAGUGCACUGGAGAUGAUAGAGGCCCCACCACAUGGGGCGGGGAGCCCCAGCUGUGUGCUGCCUAUGAGGUUCUUGGCCUGUGUGCUGAUUAUUUCCUGGAGUCUAUGUCUUACUAACCCCUCAGAGCUGAAUUGCCCACUUUGCUUCUGCUCUGAGCUACCCAAAGCUCAUUUCUUUGCCUUUGCCUGUUUCUGCCGCCUAAAGCUGCUAAAGCACGGAUGGAGCACUGGAAGGAAGCGAUUUCUCCCAUGACGCUCUCCGACUCCUAGUAACCUGCUCCUUUGCCAGCUCUGAACUGCCGUGCCCUUUCCUUCACGGUGGAUGUCCUCGCCUCCCUCUUUAUGUUCCUGGUGAGAGGCGAGGCUGCCCCUCACCCUGGGAGGGGAGUAUCGAGUUAAAGCUGAACGUUUGGUCAGUUUCUAUGUGCUUGAAAGCCUGGACAUGCUCCAUUACCCCGGGCCUCACUUACAGGAGUGAAUGAGUGACAGAUGGAAAUCUGUCACAGGCCCAGUGGGUCCUUAGACACUUGGUUUUAUUUUGACUCAAGAAAUGCCGUAAAACUUAGUUCAUAGCAGGAGGUGUAAAUUUGAGCGCACGAACCUAACUCCGUUCCCUGCCCGUAGCUGUGCUUGUGGAAGCCCUGCCAGGGGCUUGUCACUGGCUGCACCCUUGCGCAGCAGGAUGAUCGUGCUCGUCCUCCGGCUGCGGGGCGUGAAGCAGUUUUGGUUUGUGCACUUGGGGUUAGCAAGCGAUAUCUUUUUUGUUUACGGACGUCGAAAUAAUGCAGUAGCUUCCAAGGCUUUGCUCUCACCUAAAGCCUGUCCCCAGCACUCAGGGGACAGCCUUCCUCCUGAUGGAGAUGUCUGGGUGUCAGAAGGUGCAAUGACCUGACUCACUGCCCAACAGGUGACAGGGAGGCUGGGAGCACCUUUUUUUUGCCUUUUCUAUGGCCACGCCCAGGGCAUAUGGAGGUUCCCAGGCUAGGGGUCGAAUCGGAGCAGAAGCCGCCAGCCUAU